Molecule: long non-coding RNA, 4706 nt
Filed under: Sus scrofa (pig)
Lineage: Eukaryota; Metazoa; Chordata; Mammalia; Artiodactyla; Suidae
Description: lncRNA (ENSSSCG00015007697.1)
Source: RNAcentral
GAAUUUUGCCAUUUAUAGCAACAUGAAUGGACUUGGAGGGUAUUAUAAUAAGUGAAUUAAGUCAGACAGAGAAAAGACAAAUAUUGUAUGAUUUCACUUCUAUGUGGAAUCUAAAAAACAAAAAACGAGCUAGUGUAUAUGACAAAAAGGUAUCAGACCCGCAGAUAAAGAGAACAAACUCAUGGUUACCAGUGGGGAAAAGGAAGUGGGAGGAGCAAAGCAGGGGUAGGAGAGUAAGAGAUACAACUAUUACGUAUAAAAUAAAUAAGCUACAAGGAUCUAUUGUACAGCAUAGGGGAGAUAGAGAAUAUUUUAUAAUAAAUACAAAUGGAGUAAAGCUUUAAAAAUUGUGAAUCACUAGGUUGUACACCUAUAACUUACAUAAUGUUGUACGUCAACUCUGUGUCAAUAAGAAAUAUGGAAUGGGGGAGUUCCCGUCGUGGCUCAGUGGUUAACAAAUCCGACUAGGAACCAUGAGGUUUGAUCCCUGGCCUCGCUUAGUGGGUUGAGGAUCCGGCAUUGCCGUGAGCUGUGGUGUAGGUUGCAGACGCGGCUCGGAUCCUGUGUUGCUGUGGCUCUGGCGAAGGCCCUCGGCUACAGCUCAGAUUAAACCCCUAGCCUGGGAACCUCCAUAUGCCGCGGGUGUGGCCCUAAAAAGACAUUAAAUAAAUAAAUANGGAAUGGUAUUUUUCAUUUUUCUAGAAAAUUUGUCUAAGAAUAUCUUUGGAGAGUUGAUCCAGAGAGAAAUAUCCCCCUCUUCUUCCUUAAAACACUUCAACUUGUGACAUGUCUAAGUAGUAACAGUUCUAUUCUGGGCCCCCUUGUGACCACACUGUGACGGUUUUAUGUGACCUACUAACCUUACUAACAUCCUUUUUGGGCACCAGUGGUCCAUAGUAAUGGAGUGUGGAGCAAGCGUGUUCUGGUCCCAGAAGGAAUGCUGGGAGGACGAAGGAGAACGUCAAGCACUUUGUUUUCCCUCUCUCCGUAAAUCUUGCAUAUUUAUGUAAGCCACCGAAUAGAAUGCAAACAAAAGGGUAAAUGGUUAGCAUAUUUUUGGAGUAGUUGUUUCUUUCUGAAGUAGAGAUUUAAUGUGGAGGCUCCUCUUGGAAUUUAGGGAAAAAAUAAAAUGGAUGGGAAAAUGUAUCCUGUUGUAUAAAUGCUAUAAAUAUUUAACAUUACAAAUGUACAUCUAUAAAUCAUAAAACAAUAUGCCAAAUAACAGCUGCUUAUUUAUUCUUUGGCCAAAGAUUUAUCUUCCUGAAGUAUGAGUGCUAGUUGGAAGAGUUAUGAAGGGGGAGAGAGAAACUAAAAAAAAAGAGAGAAAAAUAAUAUUUUUCUUUAUUAAUUUCAUUUUCCAAGAGAAGCACAUUCAAAUUCUGACUCAGAGAGGUAACCACUAAGAGGAUUACCCUUCCUGGAAGCAAAGCUUCAAUGCGUUUAAUAACAGCAGGUCUAUGUCUGCCACAUAACUGAAAACGAUCUGAAUGUCUACUGCAAGAAAACUUCACAAACUUUCUGUCACUGGAAGUUCUCUUUCCUGAAUCAAACUGUAUAUAUAAAUUGUAAUAUAUACACUUAGUAGCAUAUGUGUUCAUAAAAUAAUAUCUAUAGCUCACAUUGAAAUGACUUAGUGUAGGCGACAUUGAUAAAUGGUAAAUACGCACUAGGUGAAAAUUAGGUGAUCACAUAUAAUCAUACUUUCAAAUGAAUGCAUAGACUUCCCCUCCACUCCUGCAGCCCUGAUAAUUUUGCUGGAGCUAUUUUUCCAAAGCAAACUUUUAACACAUCAUAGUCCAACUUCCCAUUUUUUCAAGGCUCUUUCACUUGUACCCUUGUUCAAAUGUAUUAUUUGAAAAUUACGAAGAAAAAUUUUGUUUCCUGACAUGCUGAUAUCAUGAGAUAAUAAGAAUGACUGGGCUAAAUGGCAUUAGGGUUUAAAUGGUUGACUGAGCAUUCCCAUCAGGGAAUCCUCACUGUGUUUUGACAUACAUUGGGGUUCAGAGGUUCUCUUUGAAUAUACGUUGGGGUUCAAAGACAUACACUGGGAUUUAAAGACACAAGAGUGUCUGAAAUAUUAAGACUCUGGGUGUUUCUUUAAAUGUGAUGAUGCUUAGUAAUAUAAUUGGAAAGUUAAAGGUGUAUUCAGUUACACUCUGUCUUUGCUGAGAUAUCUGAACUGUCUUAGCUUGAGGCUAAACUCACACGUAAGCUGUAGAGCAUGAUCCUUCACCCAUUCUCCAUCCAAACAAUAUCUGGGAGUGCUCAUCUCAAAACUGGAAAUGACAAUCAUCACUAAAUGCCCUUCCAGCUACGAUUCCACUUUCCUCUCUCACCAUAACAGGAAUUUUCUUGCCCAAGCACAUUUCUCUUUUUAUUAAGCAGAUACUUAUUACUUUGUGUUUAAAGAUCUGCCCUUAAGAAUACUUGGGUUUAAGACCUUACUUCUUUACAUCAUCUGUAUAUGAGCUUUUGGAAGGUUAUUCUCCUUCUCCAAACCUAUUUCUCCAUCUAUAAAAUAUGGAUAAAAACCUUACCCAUUUUGUGAUUAUUAAUGAAAAGAAAAUUCAUUCAAAUUAUUGAGCACAUAUUGGUAUACAGAAAAUAUUAAAAAUAUAAGAUGUAAUUAUGAUCUAAAUUGGAUUUUGAGAAAAUGUGAUGGUAAUUAUUCUGGCAGAAAUGGACUGGUUCUGUCCUCAAAUUAUGACCCACUAAUAAGGUCAUAAGUUUCUAAAAGAAAAGAAAUAAACAAGAGAAGCUUUAAACAUCUCUCUAUCCAAGGACUACAAAUACUCUAUCUCUAUUAUUUAUAUACAGUAAUGGGAAUAUCAUUGAUUUAGGAUUGCAGACUAUUAAUUUCAUCUAUAAAUCAGGCAUAAUAUAAUGUACCCAUUGUUGAACUAAGAAAUUAUAUAACUUCUGCUCUUAUUCCUCGUGUUUUCACUGACCCUGACAUAAAUGAAUUGAAAAGUAGAAAUUUGAAAUACUGGGAUUUGUAUUUUAUCAAAUUGCAGUGCAAAUCCUUUUGCACUACUCUGAGAGUAAAGCCAUUCCACUCAUAGUUCUUUACUUACACGUGAACACAUGCAAAGACCGUAAUGAUGCAUACCUUCUAUAUAGUAUUUUCACUUACAAUUUAGUCCAUCAAAUAUUUCUAUAUAUGCUCUCUAAUGCUUAAUUAGGUAUUUUUUAAAAAUAGGUUAUUUCACAUUCUCCUCAUUUUAGCUUUGUUGUCAUACAUUGCUCAACUUAUAGCAAAAAAGAAAUAACUAGUUUUAUGGUUAAUGAACAAGCAAACAAAAGGAUCAAAACCACCAUGAAAACCCAGUCCUUGCCUCCUAAUUCUUUAAAUGUGUCAGCCAUGAAUGUCUCAAGUUUCCUUUUGACAGCUCAGUAAUUGAGUUAUGUGCAUACAGUAGAGGUCCAUCUCCAUGUAAAUAGGAUUGGAAGGAAGAUUCGGAACUCUGUUCUCAGAAAGCCAAAAUAUUGUUUUAUGCAGUCUAAUCUAGUUCACGAAAUCAAAUUCCAUACAUGAAUUUUGACCAUCAUGGAAUUCCAUGACUUCUUAACCAGUCUUGUCUUUCCCUUUGAACUCCUGGAGAAUAUUUUAUAGUUAAAGCAAUGGGCUAACUGAAGAGACUUUUCUUUCAGCCUGACCUUCUCUCUUAUGCCAUGUGUGUAUAAUCUCUGCUCCUGACUCAUUACCUACUUUCUGGGAUACUGGGCAGAGAAAAUGCCUAGACUGUAGGGAUUUUACCAAAGCCACUGAGGUCACUUUAUAAACAGACUGUGUUUAAAGGAGGUUUUAAGAGCUCCUAGGAAAUGUGAAACCCACUGAGGUUCUGCCCAGGGAAAAGACAACCCCCAAUCUCUAAUUCUCUCUUGCUCAAUCCAUGGAAAAAGAUCCAGUCAGACAAGUUGCUGAGUUUAAGGUCAAACUGAAAUUCUUUUCCCACCUCUUUUCAUUUUUUCCAAGCCAAACAUUUCACUGGCUCUAAUGCAGAAAGCAUAGACGUUUAUCCUUACUUGCCCUAGAAACCCUGUUAUUUUCAUCUUAAAUAACCAGUCUCUCUGGCUUAGAACUUUUAACCCACUACCAAGUGAAGUUUCACUGGAUUUGCUCUCUUCUGAUUUGUCUCAAUUUGUACCAUUUUAACUCACAGAUAUACAAGCCAACGUGUUGAAUUUUACUUAUCUACACAUAACCAGCCAGCAUUUUCCACCUGUGAGAGUUCUCUUCAGUUAAAACCUCAAUUUUCCUCUGCUUUUUGUUAACAGAAGUCCUCUGAAGGUCUCAAUUCUAUUAUCUUUUUUCUUUUUAGUCUAUUCUGACCAGGUCUUUGUUUUCACAACUUAGUUAAUACUUAUGUAAUAGUCACCAAUGACUGCCAUCUUACAAAAUCUAAUGGUCAGAAAUGUAAAAUCUUCAUUUAUAAAACCUCUAGAAGAAAAAGAGGAGAAAACCUUUGUGGACUUGAGUUAGAGAUUUCUUUGAUAUGACAGAAAAAGCCUAAUUCAUGAAAAAAUGAUUAGUUGGACUUUAUCAAACUUAGAAACUUUCUGCUCUUUGAAAAACACUAUUAAAAGAAUGAAAAGACAAACUAGUAUCCAUGAGGAUGUAGGUUUGAUCCCUGGCCUCGCUCAGUGCAUCAGGGAUCCAGCUUUGUCAUGAACUGUGGUGUAAGUCACAGACGUGGCUCAGAUCC